AUGACAUACUAUAAUAAUAUAAUAUAGAGCUAUCACUGUCAGGAUUACAGAAUGAUCCAGCACGUAGAAUUGUGUAACACAGAGGACUGACAGGUAACGUAUACCGGACCUUAGAAUGGCCGGACUAACGUACCAAAGAAUAGUCAGGAAUAGCCGAGGUCGAGAGAAACAGAAAGAGACAAAACGAUAAGGAAAAGCAAGGAGUCAGUGAUGCCAGAAAACAGGGAAGUAAAAAACAAAUGCCAAAGUAAAAUAACCAGAAUUACCAGAAUCAAUAACGCGCUCUCGGACAACCACAAGGGAAACCACGGCAGGGCACUGAGCAGGAUGAGAACUGGGCCUAAAUACCCCUCCUCUAGAUUUGACAGGCUGUAACCGGCCUUUGACCCCAAAGUCAGUUACCAAGUUACCAUUUGCAUAAUUGCUGCUCAGCAUUAACCCUUCUGUGGAUUUGGUUGCUGCUCGGCACAACUUUUCCUGUGUGGACAGUAAAUGUCAUUAACCACAUUUUUAUAAGCGGAUGAAUAUGUGACAUUACCCUCCACCUGAAGAACACCCACCGGGCCGGCAGGACCAGGCUUGAGAGGAAAUUUGGCGUGAAAAUAGCGAAUCUUGCGGCCAGCAUGUAUAUCAGAUGCCGGAACCCAAGAAAGAUUGGCUGGUUCAUAACCUUUCCAAUCCACCAAGUACUAUAAAGUGCCCCGAGAAAACCUGGAAUCAAUUAUGGAGGAGACCUCAUACUCUUCCUGUCCAGAUACAACUAAGGGAGGAGGAUGGACACUUGAGACAGUAUAUUUAUUGCAAACAAGAGGUUUGAGCAAGGACACGAUAGGUAUUAGGAAUUUUCAAGGAGGCCGGAAGGGCCAGAGAGUAAGCAACAGGAUUGAUCCUACGAAGGACAUGAAAAGGUCCAAGGAACCUAGGAGCAAAUUUCAUGCUAGGGACUUUGAGCCUGAUGUUACGAGAAGAUAACCAAACCCUCUCACCCACUUGGUAAACAGGGUUGGCACCUCGUAUCAGCAAAAUGCUUGAAACGGUCAGCAGCAGUACCCAGAGCAGAUUGAACUUUAACCCAGGUAUCACGGAUGAAAGCCAGACAGUCAUCCAAAGCAGGAAUAGCCGUAUCAGAAAAAAUAGCUAGUAGGACAGCAGGAUGCCGGCCAUUAUUAACAAAAAAUGGACUAUGCCCAGAGGAGUCAUGGUCAGCAUUGUUCCUGGCAAACUCGGCCCAUGGUAAUAAUUCGGACCAAUUGUCUUGAGUGCUAUUAAGGAAACAACGCAAGUAUAACAUCAAAGACUGGUUAGCCCUCUCAGCUGUACCAUUGGUCUGGGGGUGAUAAGAGGAUGAAAAAGACAAUUCAAUCCCCAAUUGCUUAUUGAAGGCCCUCCAAAACCGGGAUACAAACUGAGAACCUCUAUCAGAUACGAUAUUGUGAGGAAUGCCAUGCAGACAGACAGACAAUCUCCCAUAUAAAGAUCAGUACCAGGUCUUGAGAUGACGGUAAUUUCUUGAGAGGGAUGAAGUGAGCCAUUUUAGAAAAACGGUCAACAACCAUGAGAAUAGUGGUAUAACCAUUAGAACUAGGAAGUUUUACAAUGAGAUCCAUAGACAAGUGGGACCAUGGGACCUCAGGAACGGGAAGAGGCUGUAACAAGCCACAAGGGAGGUUAUCAGGUACUUUGGAAACCUCACAAACAGAACAAGCCUGCACAUACUCCUUAAAAUCCUUCAUGAGGGAAUCCCACCAGAAUGACCUCAUGAUAGCAGAAGUGGACCAGCAGACACAUUGGCGUGAAACACUUUCAUGAUAUUAACCCUUUCCACCAAUGGAAUGAACAAUUUGUCCUGUGGUUUAUCGCAGGGCACCUGAGACUGAGCCUCCAUGAUGGAGCCAAGCAGCAGAGAGGACAAUGAAAGGAUAGUGGAAGCAAUGAUACAUUCCGGGGGAAUGAUAUGGGACUUUUCUUGCUCUUGUAUAGACUCAGUAUCAAACUGUCUGGAUAAGGCAUCAGCCUUGACAUUUUUAGAACCAGGUCUAUAAGUAAUAAGAAAAUUAAAGCAAGAAAGGAACAGAGACCACCUAGCUUGUCUAGAACACAAUCGUUU
RNAcentral lists this long non-coding RNA (2107 nucleotides) under Pelobates cultripes (western spadefoot toad). The record is from RNAcentral. Lineage: Eukaryota; Metazoa; Chordata; Amphibia; Anura; Pelobatidae.